This is a non-coding RNA of Agelaius phoeniceus (red-winged blackbird), 416 nucleotides long. The record is from RefSeq and is a predicted model, not a curated record. NCBI's taxonomy places the organism in Eukaryota, Metazoa, Chordata, Aves, Passeriformes, Icteridae.
GGAUGAUCAUCUUUGAAGGGAAAAGAUCCUGCCUGUGUAGAGAAGAAUUCUCAGGACUGUCUUUGAGCAAAAUCUACUUAUGAACCACCUCUAAUCGUCGAAGGAAGCUCUGGAUUGAGAUUAGUAUCCACAGCAGAAAGGAAUCUACAGACACUACUGUGUGCGAGUAAUGUUGUGGGCGCUCGUCCAAGCUCAGGAACGAGUGGAAUGUACCCCUUCUCCAAGGUGAAAGACUGCAUAGACAUAUGUUUUCCACGGUGACUGGCAUUACCAAGCAACCUGAUGGAGAGCUGACAACACCUUGGCAAGCAGAGAAUAAUAAGGUAAAUUAUCAGCAAUAUUAAGAGAACCCAGUUACGAGCCUCACCUUUACUUUGGCCUGCGACGUUACUGGCUGUUACUUGGGGAAAAAAAAA